GACGAACGCUGGCGGCGUGCUUAACACAUGCAAGUCGAACGGAAAGUCCCUGCUUCUGUGGGGGGCUGGAGUGUCGAACGUGUGAGUAACACGUUAGUAACCUGCCCUUGACUUUGAGAUAACUUCAGGAAACUGGGGCUAAUACCGGAUAGGAGCUCCUGCUGCAUGGUGGGGGUUGGAAUGUUUCUGCCGUGGGGGAUGGACUCUCGGCUUAUCAGCCUGUUGUUGGGGUAGUGUCUUACCGAGGCUUUGACGGGUAGCCGGCCUGAGAGGGUGACCGGCCACAUUGGGACGGAGAAACGGCCGCGACUCCUACGGGAGGCAGCAGUAGGGAAGAUUGCACAAUGGGCGGAGGCCUGCUGCCGCAACGCCGCGUGCGGGAUGACGGCCGUCGGGUUGUAACCCGCUUUCGCCUGUGGCGAAGCGUGAGUGACGGUAAUGGGUAAAGAAGCACCGGCUAACUACGUG
Molecule: ribosomal RNA, 468 nt
Filed under: uncultured bacterium
Lineage: Bacteria
Description: partial 16S ribosomal RNA
Rfam family: Bacterial small subunit ribosomal RNA
Source: RNAcentral